GUAGGUGGCAAGCGUUGUCCGGAAUUAUGGGCGUAAAGCGCGCGCAGGCGGGUUCUUUAAGUCUAAUGUGAAAGCCCACGGGCUCAACCGUGGAGGGUCAUUGGAAACUGGAGAACUUGAGUACAGAAGAGGAAAGCGGAAUUCCACGUGUAGCGGUGAAAUGCGUGGAGAUGUGGAGGAACACCAGUGGCGAAGGCGGCUUUCUGGUCUGUAACUGACGCUGAGGCGCGAAAGCGUGGGGAGCAAACAGGAUUAGAUACCCUGGUAGUCCACGCCGUAAACGAUGAGUGCUAAGUGUUAGGGGGUUUCCGCCCCUUAGUGCUGCAGCUAACGCAUUAAGCACUCCGCCUGGGGAGUACGGCCGCAAGGCUG
This 372-nucleotide ribosomal RNA is filed under the name uncultured organism. RNAcentral's name for it is "partial 16S ribosomal RNA". It matches the Rfam family "Bacterial small subunit ribosomal RNA", at positions 527 to 896 of the family's 1533-position model. The record is from RNAcentral.